UCCUUUGAGGUUGGAGUCCCCCUUGCUUCUUUUCAGUGAUUGAAGAGUUAUUUUUUUGUGUGUAUUGGGCCUUAGGCCUGUACGAGAUUAGAGACCUUUUCUUUAACAGGUGUCUCUAGGGUUUUGGGUAUGUUAUGGGUUGGUACUCUCAUCCUUUGAGGUUGGAGUCCCCCUUGCUUUUUUUCAGUGGUUGAAGAAUUGUUUAUUUGAGUUUUUUAGGCCUUAGGCCUGUACGAGGUUAGAGACCCUUUCUUUAAGUUGUCUCUAGGCAAAAACACUCAGCAAGGUUUUCCCUAUAAGGAAGAAAAAAACCCAUCAUCUACCUUUUGAGCUGAUGGCUCGUGGAACCCGAAUUACAGAUUUGACUCCU
Polypterus senegalus (gray bichir) is the source of this 370-nucleotide long non-coding RNA. RefSeq lists it as uncharacterized. Lineage: Eukaryota; Metazoa; Chordata; Cladistia; Polypteriformes; Polypteridae. The record is from RefSeq and is a predicted model, not a curated record. The transcript has 3 exons.